Molecule: long non-coding RNA, 940 nt
Organism: Amphimedon queenslandica
Lineage: Eukaryota; Metazoa; Porifera; Demospongiae; Haplosclerida; Niphatidae
Exons: 3
Source: RefSeq, a predicted model, not a curated record
CAAAGUUGCUAUAUACACUCAAUUCCUUACCUUAAGACCUUAACGGCUUCCUCAGGAUUAACAAUGUCAGAUUUAAUCGUGCUCCUUUCAUCUUCAAUUUCUUCUCUAACGAGCUUAGCAAUGAGACUCCUACCAGUUGCUUAUUUAGCUUGCUGACCAUAGUUGUAGCUGAAUUGGCUAAGUGUGCUGCAUACCUCUGGUAGAGGAACUUAUUCAGUAUAAAGACAAUAGCAAACAUCAUUAGCAUUAGUAGCUUUGUAUAUAUUAUUAAGACAGAGGACAUUAUCAUUUCACAGCUGCAAUGUAGAUAAUGCAAGACUGCAAUGGGACAGUUAAAAAUUUUUGCUACUUUGAACAGCUUAGAAGAUCUAUUUAAAAGGGCAAAGUGAAACAAAGGAAAUCUAUUUUACAAUACUCUGUUACAAUUAGUUACAAAUGAUAAGUGUUGUAAACACACUAAUAUGUCAAUGUAAAAUGGCGGCGUCAAAGUCUUCUUUGUGACGAAAGUUCCACGGUUUAACUACAUUUCUUUAGCCAACCUACAAAGUAGAAACAGGUGUCAUAUGAUGUUACGUUUAUCAUUAAAAAUGGACAAAAAAUACAGCUCCCUUCGUAUUGCUAUGAAUGGUCAUUUAUAAAUAUGUUGAAAUAUACUAAUAAUAUCUUUUCCGUGUCCCAGCAUUUCUGGACAUGUUCCUGUCUGACAUUUUUCACAUCAUUGAUGACAAGAUACAGACCGAUUCAUCUAUCUUGAUUAGAGCAAAGCGUUUAAAAGUGCUUCCCAUGAUAAAUUGUUGGUUAAGCUCUAUUUUAUCAGGAUCAAUUGUGAGCCAUGAGAAUGGUUUAAGAGCUAUUUUUCCUCCAGGACUCAGUGUGUAUUCAUCAAUUGUGCCAUUUUAAUACUCUCCGGGUUACUUCAGGUGUCUCUCAAGGAAGUAUC